Molecule: transfer RNA, 92 nt
Organism: Felis catus (domestic cat)
Lineage: Eukaryota; Metazoa; Chordata; Mammalia; Carnivora; Felidae
Rfam family: tRNA
About the family: Transfer RNA (tRNA) molecules are approximately 80 nucleotides in length. Their secondary structure includes four short double-helical elements and three loops (D, anti-codon, and T loops).
Source: Rfam
GCCUGGGUGGCUCAGUCGGUUAAGCGUCUGACUCUUGAUUUUGGCUCAGGUCAUGAUCUCACAGUGCAUGGGUUCGAGCCCCACUUCGGGCU